RNAcentral lists this ribosomal RNA (437 nucleotides) under uncultured bacterium. RNAcentral describes it as "partial 16S ribosomal RNA". It matches the Rfam family "Bacterial small subunit ribosomal RNA", at positions 29 to 507 of the family's 1533-position model. The record is from RNAcentral.
AGCGAACGCUGGCGGCAGGCUUAACACAUGCAAGUCGAGCGGGCAUCCUUGUGGUGUCAGCGGCAGACGGGUGAGUAACGCGUGGGAACGUGCCCUUCGGUUCGGAAUAACUCAGGGAAACUUGAGCUAAUACCGGAUACGUGCGAGAGCAGAAAGGUUUAUCUGCCGAAGGAUCGGCCCGCGUCUGAUUAGCUAGUUGGUAAGGUUAUGGCUCACCAAGGCGACGAUCAGUAGCUGGUCUGAGAGGAUGAUCAGCCACACUGGGACUGAGACACGGCCCAGACUCCUACGGGAGGCAGCAGUGGGGAAUAUUGGACAAUGGGGGCAACCCUGAUCCAGCCAUGCCGCGUGAGUGAUGACGGCCUUAGGGUUGUAAAGCUCUUUUCUUCGGGACGAUAAUGACGGUACCGGAGGAAUAAGCCCCGGCUAACUUCGUG